This 320-nucleotide ribosomal RNA is filed under the name uncultured eukaryote. Its description in RNAcentral is "partial 18S ribosomal RNA". It matches the Rfam family "Eukaryotic small subunit ribosomal RNA", at positions 1470 to 1796 of the family's 1831-position model. The record is from RNAcentral.
CCCUUAGAUGUUCUGGGCUGCACGCGCGCUACACUGACGCACGCAACAGGUGCCUGCUCCGAGAGGACUGGGUAAUCAUUUGAGUGUGCGUCGUGAUGGGGAUAGAAUAUUGUAAUUAUUACUCUUCAACGAGGAAUUCCUAGUAAGCGCAAGUCAGCAGCUUGCGCUGAUUACGUCCCUGCCCUUUGUACACACCGCCCGUCGCUCCUACCGAUUGAAUGCUCAGGUGAGCCAUUCGGACUUUCAUCAUGCUGGUUUCCAGUUUUGAUGAAGGAAAGUCUUGCGAACCUUAUCAUUUAGAGGAAGGAGAAGUCGUAACA